This 943-nucleotide ribosomal RNA is filed under the name uncultured Bacteroidota bacterium. Its description in RNAcentral is "bacterial SSU rRNA". It matches the Rfam family "Bacterial small subunit ribosomal RNA", at positions 1 to 916 of the family's 1533-position model. The record is from RNAcentral. Lineage: Bacteria; Pseudomonadati; Bacteroidota.
AGCGGACGCCAGUUCGCCCUUGGAUCCAGACUUUGAUUAUGGCUCAGGAUGAACGCUAGCUACAGGCCUAACACAUGCAAGUCGAGGGGAAACGGCAGCUUAGCUUGCUAAGCUGGACGUCGACCGGCGCACGGGUGAGUAACGCGUAUCCAACCUGCCCCACGGUGAGGGAUAACCCGCGGAAACGCGGCCUAAUACCUCAUGGUCUCCGAGUUUGCCAUCAACCUUGGAGUAAAGAUUCAUUGCCGUGGGAUGGGGAUGCGUCUGAUUAGCUUGUUGGCGGGGCAACGGCCCACCAAGGCAACGAUCAGUAGGGGUUCUGAGAGGAAAGCCCCCCACAUUGGAACUGAGACACGGUCCAAACUCCUACGGGAGGCAGCAGUGAGGAAUAUUGGUCAAUGGGCGAGAGCCUGAACCAGCCAAGUAGCGUGCAGGAAGACGGCCCUAUGGGUUGUAAACUGCUUUUAUGCGGGGAUAAAGCGGGCGACGUGUCGCCCUUUGCAGGUACCGCAUGAAUAAGGACCGGCUAAUUCCGUGCCAGCAGCCGCGGUAAUACGGAAGGUCCGGGCGUUAUCCGGAUUUAUUGGGUUUAAAGGGAGCGCAGGCUGGGUAUUAAGCGUGUUGUGAAAUGUAGGCGCCCAACGUCUGCACCGCAGCGCGAACUGGUGCCCUUGAGUACGCACGACGUUGGCGGAAUUCGCCGUGUAGCGGUGAAAUGCUUAGAUAUGGCGAAGAACUCCGAUUGCGAAGGCAGCUGACGGGAGCGCUACUGACGCUCAUGCUCGAAAGCGCGGGUAUCGAACAGGAUUAGAUACCCUGGUAGUCCGCGCGGUAAACGAUGGAUGCCCGCUAUUUGCGCAUUAGCGCAAGUGGCCAAGUGAAAACGUUAAGCAUCCCACCUGGGGAGUACGCCGGCAACGGUGCAACUCAAGGGAAUUGACGG